Molecule: ribosomal RNA, 397 nt
Filed under: uncultured bacterium
Lineage: Bacteria
Description: partial 16S ribosomal RNA
Rfam family: Bacterial small subunit ribosomal RNA
Source: RNAcentral
AUACGUAGGGGGCGAGCGUUGUCCGGAAUGAUUGGGCGUAAAGGGCGCGUAGGCGGCCCGGUAAGUCUGGAGUGAAAGUCCUGUUUUUAAGAUGGGAAUUGCUUUGGAUACUGUUGGGCUUGAGUGCAGGAGAGGUAAGUGGAAUUCCCAGUGUAGCGGUGAAAUGCGUAGAGAUUGGGAGGAACACCAGUGGCGAAGGCGACUUACUGGACUGUAACUGACGCUGAGGCGCGAAAGUGUGGGGAGCAAACAGGAUUAGAUACCCUGGUAGUCCACACUGUAAACGAUGAAUGCUAGGUGUAGGGGGUAUCGACCCCUUCUGUGCCGCAGUCAACACAAUAAGCAUUCCGCCUGGGGAGUACGGCCGCAAGGUUGAAACUCAAAUGAAUUGACGGGG